AGCCUGAACGCUGGCGGCGUGGCUAAGACAUGCAAGUCGCACGGAGGUAGCAAUACCUUAGUGGCGAACGGGUGAGUAAUGUAUCGCUAACGUACCCUUUAGUCCGGGAUAGCCAGGGGAAACUCUGGGUAAUACCGGGUGAUAUUCUUCUUCCGCAUGGUUGGAGACUCAAAGGAGCAAUCCGCUGAAGGAGCGGGGCU
RNAcentral lists this ribosomal RNA (200 nucleotides) under uncultured bacterium. Its description in RNAcentral is "partial small subunit ribosomal RNA". It matches the Rfam family "Bacterial small subunit ribosomal RNA", at positions 26 to 232 of the family's 1533-position model. The record is from RNAcentral.